UACAGAGGGUGCAAGCGUUAAUCGGAGUUACUGGGCGUAAAGGGCGCGUAGGCGGUUAUUUAAGUUUGAUGUGAAAUCCCUGGGCUUAACCUAGGAACUGCAUUGAAUACUGGGUAACUGGAGUACUGUAGAGGGUAGUGGAAUUUCCGGUGUAGCGGUGAAAUGCGUAGAGAUCCGGAAGAACACCGGUGGCGAAGGCGGCCUGCUGGGCAGUUUUGCUGACACUGAGGCGCGACAGCGUGGGGAGCAAACAGG
Molecule: ribosomal RNA, 255 nt
Filed under: uncultured bacterium
Lineage: Bacteria
Description: partial 16S ribosomal RNA
Rfam family: Bacterial small subunit ribosomal RNA
Source: RNAcentral